RNAcentral lists this ribosomal RNA (762 nucleotides) under Triticum aestivum (bread wheat). Its description in RNAcentral is "partial small subunit ribosomal RNA". The record is from RNAcentral. Lineage: Eukaryota; Viridiplantae; Streptophyta; Magnoliopsida; Poales; Poaceae.
AUGGCGGCCGUGCGCCUAUCCCCACGCCUCCGCUCGAUUCCCCUCCUGCUCCCCGGUCUCGACCCCGCAGCCGCAGUCCACCGCCGCUGCUCCUGCGGUAGCUCGGCCGCCGCCGCCGCCGCGCGCGCCAUGUCCUCCUCCUCCUCCUCCUCCGCGUCGUCGGCACCCACCCCCUACACGACGCUCGUGGGCCGCGUCCGCUGCGAGCGCGAGAUCAAGCGCAGCAAGUUCAUCGCAGUCGCCGCCUCCGUCCCCGACGAGCGCGCCGCCAUGUCCUUCCUCAACGAGGUCAAGGAUCCUCGUGCCACCCAUAAUUGCUGGGCGUACAAGGUGGGAGAACAGUUCCGUUAUAACGAUGACGGCGAACCUUCAAGCACAGCUGGAAAGCCAAUAUACUCUGCCAUCAUUUCAUCUGGCAUAGAUAUGGUCAUGGUGGUUGUAAUAAGAUAUUUUGGAGGCAUAAAACUGGGAACCGGCGGGCUGGUGAGAGCUUAUGGUGGGGUUGCUGCUGAGUGCCUUAAAGAUGCUCCUACUUGUCUUGUGAAGCCCAAGGCUCGUGUGGGCAUGGAAGUACCAUUUGAUCUCUUGGGCAUGGUCUAUAAUCAGCUGCAGCAUUUCCAUGCCGAAGAUAUUAAACAGGACUAUGACACUGGCAAAGAUGGUACAGUUGUUGUCAUGUUCAAAGUAGAAUAUGAAAAAAUUGAGAGUCUUGGAAGCGCAGUGAAUUCAGCUUGCAGCAGGAAAAUUGAAUUAUUACAAUAA